Molecule: ribosomal RNA, 529 nt
Filed under: uncultured Escherichia sp.
Lineage: Bacteria; Pseudomonadati; Pseudomonadota; Gammaproteobacteria; Enterobacterales; Enterobacteriaceae
Description: bacterial SSU rRNA
Rfam family: Bacterial small subunit ribosomal RNA
Source: RNAcentral
GUGCCAGCCGCGGCGGUAAUACGGAGGGUGCAAGCGUUAAUCGGAAUUACUGGGCGUAAAGCGCACGCAGGCGGUUGAUUAAGUCAGAUGUGAAAUCCCCGGGCUCAACCCGGGAACUGCAUCUGAUACUGGUCAGCUGGAGUCUCGUAGAGGGAGGUAGAAUUCCAGGUGUAGCGGUGAAAUGCGUAGAGAUCUGGAGGAAUACCGGUGGCGAAGGCGGCCCCCUGGACGAAGACUGACGCUCAGGUGCGAAAGCGUGGGGAGCAAACAGGAUUAGAUACCCUGGUGGUCCACGCCGUAAACGAUGUCUAUUUGGAGUUGUGCCCUUGAGGCGUGGCUUCCGGAGCUAACGCGUUAAAUAGACCGCCUGGGGAGUACGGCCGCAAGGUUAAACUCAAAUGAAUUGACGGGGCCCGCACAAGCGGUGGAGCAUGUGGUUAAUUCGAUGCAACGCGAAGAACCUACCUGGUCUUGACAUCCACAGAAGUUUCAGAGAUGAGAACGUGCCUUCGGGAACUGUGAGACAGGU